UCGGACGCGGCACGAACAUCGCUCUCUGUGGCGCAAGGCCAUACAGGAGCAGGUGCUGCUUACCCGCAUGGAGAAGGAGGAGAGGCAGCUUCAAGAGAGCCAGGAUGAAUGGAGCAGCAAGCGUUUGCGACUCGACUAUGGCGAGGUUGAGGACGGGCCUUGUAAUGCCGAGACGGUCAAGGGCUGGGACAAGCUCCUGACGCAGCCACCGGGAGGCGUCAUCAGCCCGGACAUCAUUCAGUCUGAGCAGAGUUAUCGCGAGGCCAGCCGAUUUACUCAAUGAGGACGGUCUCCCUGGAGUAGCGGAGCUGCUACUGUUCAUCCUGGGCCUC
Rhipicephalus microplus (southern cattle tick) is the source of this 332-nucleotide long non-coding RNA. The record is from RefSeq and is a predicted model, not a curated record. Lineage: Eukaryota; Metazoa; Arthropoda; Arachnida; Ixodida; Ixodidae.